This 444-nucleotide long non-coding RNA is filed under the name Nicotiana benthamiana. Its description in RNAcentral is "long non-coding RNA (NBEN_LNC013897)". The record is from RNAcentral. Lineage: Eukaryota; Viridiplantae; Streptophyta; Magnoliopsida; Solanales; Solanaceae.
UAAUAGAAAGCAGUCAUAAGAGCAUUAUCACUUCUAUAACCAAAACUAUGCAAGAAGGUGGUUAUUUAGGGCCUAAAUAUAGUUAAAUUCACCUAUUAUCAACACCCUACACUUAAACCUUUGCACGUCCUCGAGCAAGCUAAACCACACUUCUGGGCCUAACCGUUUGAUGCAUUACCCCAAGUAUGUCACAUCAACCAUUUUGACGAAACAACCUAAGCAAUGAUAUAGUCAUACCCAGACGCAGACUCUAUUGCCAUGACAUGCUCGCUCUGACUCUACUACUCUAACAGAGGUGAAGAUUUACUUUUCCUUCCCGAGUCACAUGCCCUCACAUCAAAAGUCUGAGAGAGAUUCCACAAACAUUAAAUUCAAGGAACACUGAACCAGAGAUAGAAAGAAUUCACUUAUUCUCAGCAAAGAACAUUCACAUUCCACACAAAC